This 403-nucleotide ribosomal RNA is filed under the name uncultured bacterium. RNAcentral describes it as "bacterial SSU rRNA". It matches the Rfam family "Bacterial small subunit ribosomal RNA", at positions 29 to 428 of the family's 1533-position model. The record is from RNAcentral.
AGUGAACGCUGGCGGUAGGCCUAACACAUGCAAGUCGAACGGCAGCACAGGAGAGCUUGCUCUCUGGGUGGCGAGUGGCGGACGGGCGAGGAAUACAUCGGAAUCUACCUUUUUCGUGGGGGAUAACGUAGGGAAACUUACGCUAAUACCGCAUACGACCUACGGGUGAAAGUGGGGGACCGCAAGGCCUCACGCGAUUAGAUGAGCCGAUGUCCGAUUAGCUAGUUGGCGGGGUAAUGGCCCACCAAGGCGACGAUCGGUAGCUGGUCUGAGAGGACGAUCAGCCACACUGGAACUGAGACACGGUCCAGACUCCUACGGGAGGCAGCAGUGGGGAAUAUUGGACAAUGGGCGCAAGCCUGAUCCAGCCAUACCGCGUGGGUGAAGAAGGCCUCGGUUGUAA